RNAcentral lists this ribosomal RNA (497 nucleotides) under uncultured bacterium. RNAcentral's name for it is "partial 16S ribosomal RNA". It matches the Rfam family "Bacterial small subunit ribosomal RNA", at positions 28 to 507 of the family's 1533-position model. The record is from RNAcentral.
GAUGAACGCUGGCGGCGUGCCUAAUACAUGCAAGUCGAGCGAACAGACGAGGAGCUUGCUCCUUCGACGUUAGCGGCGGACGUGUGAGUAACACGUAGGUAACCUACCUAUAAGACUGGUAUAACUUCGGGAAACCGGAGCUACUACCGGAUAAUAUUUCGAACCGCAUGGUUCGAUAGUUAAAGAUGGCUUUGCUAUCACUUAUAGAUGGACCUGCGCCGUAUUAGCUAGUUGGUAAGGUAACGGCUUACCAAGGCAACGAUACGUAGCCGACCUGAGAGGGUGAUCGGCCACACUGGAACUGAGACACGGGCCAGACUCCUACGGGAGGCAGCAGUAGGGAAUCGUCCGCGAUGGGCGAAAGCCUGACGGAGCAACGCCGCGUGAGUGAUGAAGGUCUUCGGAUCGUAAAACUCUGUUAUUAGGGAAGAACAAACGUGUAAGUAACUGUGCACGUCUUGACGGUACCUAAUCAGAAAGCCACGGCUAACUACGUG